Molecule: ribosomal RNA, 411 nt
Filed under: uncultured Desulfobulbus sp.
Lineage: Bacteria; Pseudomonadati; Thermodesulfobacteriota; Desulfobulbia; Desulfobulbales; Desulfobulbaceae
Description: bacterial SSU rRNA
Rfam family: Bacterial small subunit ribosomal RNA
Source: RNAcentral
ACCUGGUCUUGACAUCCCGGAGACCCUUAGGAAACUAGGGGUGCUUCCAUCUGGAAGAAUCUGGAGACAGGUGCUGCAUGGCUGUCGUCAGCUCGUGUCGUGAGAUGUUGGGUUAAGUCCCGCAACGAGCGCAACCCUUGCCUUUAGUUGCCAGCAGUUCGGCUGGGCACUCUAAAGGGACUGCCGGUGUUAAACCGGAGGAAGGUGGGGAUGACGUCAAGUCCUCAUGGCCUUUAUGACCAGGGCUACACACGUACUACAAUGGCCGAUACAAAGGGCAGCGACACUGCGAGGUGAAGCCAAUCCGUAAAAUCGGUCUCAGUCCGGAUUGGAGUCUGCAACUCGACUCCAUGAAGUUGGAAUCGCUAGUAAUCGUGGAUCAGCAUGCCACGGUGAAUACGUUCCGGCCUU